This 803-nucleotide ribosomal RNA is filed under the name uncultured Verrucomicrobiota bacterium. RNAcentral's name for it is "bacterial SSU rRNA". It matches the Rfam family "Bacterial small subunit ribosomal RNA", at positions 69 to 848 of the family's 1533-position model. Lineage: Bacteria; Pseudomonadati; Verrucomicrobiota. The record is from RNAcentral.
UCACAUUGCAGCAAUGUAGUGUGGUUGGAGUGGCGCAAGGGUGCGUAACACGUGGGUAAUUUGCCGUGAAGACUGGGAUAACUUGCUGAAAGGCGAGCUAAUACCGGAUGUGGAAAUUGGGAGGCAUCUUCUGAUUUCUGAAGUUGGGGACCGUAAGGCCUGACGUUUCACGAUAAGCCCGCGGCCUAUCAGCUAGUUGGUGAGGUAACGGCUCACCAAGGCGAAGACGGGUAGCUGGUCUGAGAGGACGACCAGCCACACUGGAACUGAGAGACAGUCCAGACACCUACGGGUGGCAGCAGUCGAGAAUUUUUCUCAAUGGGGGAAACCCUGAAGGAGCGACGCCGCGUGGGGGAUGAAUGGCUUCGGCCCGUAAACCCCUGUCAUUUGCGAACAAUGUGUACUAUUUAAAAGAUGGUGCAUUGAUAGUAGCGAAAGAGGAAGGGACGGCUAACUCUGUGCCAGCAGCCGCGGUAAUACAGAGGUCCCGAGCGUUGUUCGGAUUCACUGGGCGUAAAGGGUGCGUAGGUGGUGGGGUAAGUCGGAUGUGAAAUCUCGGAGCUCAACUCCGAAAUGGCAUUGGAAACUACCCUGCUGGAGGUUUGGAGGGGGGACUGGAAUUCUCGGUGUAGCAGUGAAAUGCGUAGAUAUCGAGAGGAACACCAGUGGCGAAGGCGAGUCCCUGGACAAAACCUGACACUGAGGCACGAAAGCUAGGGGAGCAAACAGGAUUAGAUACCCUGGUAGUCCUAGCCGUAAACGGUGCUUGCUUGCUGUAAAAGGAAUCGACCCCUUUUGUGGCG